RNAcentral lists this ribosomal RNA (1372 nucleotides) under uncultured bacterium. Its description in RNAcentral is "bacterial SSU rRNA". It matches the Rfam family "Bacterial small subunit ribosomal RNA", at positions 28 to 1381 of the family's 1533-position model. The record is from RNAcentral.
GAUAAACGCUGGCGGCGUGCCUAAUACAUGCAAGUCGAGCGAACGGACGAGAAGCUUGCUUCUCUGAUGUUAGCGGCGGACGGGCGAGUAACACGUGGAUAACCUACCUAUAAGACUGGGAUAACUUCGGGAAACCGGAGCUAAUACCGGAUAAUAUUUUGAACCGCAUGGUUCAAAAGUGAAAGACGGUCUUGCUGUCACUUAUAGAUGGAUCCGCGCUGCAUUAGCUAGUUGGUAAGGUAACGGCUUACCAAGGCAACGAUGCAUAGCCGACCUGAGAGGGUGAUCGGCCACACUGGAACUGAGACACGGUCCAGACCCCUACGGGAGGCAGCAGUAGGGAAUCUUCCGCAAUGGGCGAAAGCCUGACGGAGCAACGCCGCGUGAGUGAUGAAGGUCUUCGGAUCGUAAAACUCUGUUAUUAGGGAAGAACAUAUGUGUAAGUAACUGUGCACAUCUUGACGGUACCUAAUCAGAAAGCCACGGCUAACUACGUGCCAGCAGCCGCGGUAAUACGUAGGUGGCAAGCGUUAUCCGGAAUUAUUGGGCGUAAAGCGCGCGUAGGCGGUUUUUUAAGUCUGAUGUGAAAGCCCACGGCUCAACCGUGGAGGGUCAUUGGAAACUGGAAAACUUGAGUGCAGAAGAGGAAAGUGGAAUUCCAUGUGUAGCGGUGAAAUGCGCAGAGAUAUGGAGGAACACCAGUGGCGAAGGCGACUUUCUGGUCUGUAACUGACGCUGAUGUGCGAAAGCGUGGGGAUCAAACAGGAUUAGAUACCCUGGUAGUCCACGCCGUAAACGAUGAGUGCUAAGUGUUAGGGGGUUUCCGCCCCUUAGUGCUGCAGCUAACGCAUUAAGCACUCCGCCUGGGGAGUACGACCGCAAGGUUGAAACUCAAAGGAAUUGACGGGGACCCGCACAAGCGGUGGAGCAUGUGGUUUAAUUCGAAGCAACGCGAAGAACCUUACCAAAUCUUGACAUCCUUUGACAACUCUAGAGAUAGAGCCUUCCCCUUCGGGGGACAAAGUGACAGGUGGUGCAUGGUUGUCGUCAGCUCGUGUCGUGAGAUGUUGGGUUAAGUCCCGCAACGAGCGCAACCCUUAAGCUUAGUUGCCAUCAUUAAGUUGGGCACUCUAAGUUGACUGCCGGUGACAAACCGGAGGAAGGUGGGGAUGACGUCAAAUCAUCAUGCCCCUUAUGAUUUGGGCUACACACGUGCUACAAUGGACAAUACAAAGGGCAGCGAAACCGCGAGGUCAAGCAAAUCCCAUAAAGUUGUUCUCAGUUCGGAUUGUAGUCUGCAACUCGACUACAUGAAGCUGGAAUCGCUAGUAAUCGUAGAUCAGCAUGCUACGGUGAAUACGUUCCCGGGUCU